Cygnus atratus (black swan) is the source of this 1012-nucleotide long non-coding RNA. RefSeq lists it as uncharacterized. The transcript is spliced from 6 exons. The record is from RefSeq and is a predicted model, not a curated record. NCBI's taxonomy places the organism in Eukaryota, Metazoa, Chordata, Aves, Anseriformes, Anatidae.
CAGGCUCCGUCGUGUGCAUGGCGGCACGUUCUUCUCUGCUGACCCUGCUGCAAGAAAUGACCCAGCUACCUGGAACAGAAACCUCAGAGUCUCAGGAAGCAGCUGCAGAAGCCUCUGAGAAUGUGGGCAGCAAGGGGUUUUCUGGAAGGUGCUCUCAGCAUCCCCAAGUCCUAUGCACAGCGGAGAACCCUCCAAGUAUGGAGAAAAAGGCCCGUUCUGUACUGUAAAGACAUGGAUUCGAGCAGCCAAAGAAGGAGAAGAAACGAAUGCCAACAUACUUUCCCUCCAGCAAACUGAAGGGAAAGUAAAUUUGAAGCUGAGUGUGAACAGUAACCAGCUCAUGUGGGGAGACACCAACUUGUCAAAUGGAAGGAGGCCCUUUGAAGUGUGGAGAUAAGGACCUUUCUAGCCUUCAGUCAUAUCUGAAAGCCAUUUCCAGCCCAGCAGAGGAACGUGUCAUUCAGCUGGAUUGGGUUUGCCUAUGUUGUACAGAGGAAUGGACAAGCGGAGUUGGUGCAGAUUCCCCUGUCUGGUUGGCAUCGGCAGCUGGAUUAUCAAGAUGUCUUGACAAAGUACUUCUGCACAGUAUUUUUCAUGUAAUCAAAAGCUGUUAGCACUGAAAUAUCUUCCCCAGAAAGGAUUCUCCUGAGCUGCACACCGUGACUGCUGCCUUGACAUUCUCCCGAGCUGACAUCCCGACCGGUAUGACACUGAUGCCUUUGGGCAGAAAUCAGAGCCGGUUUGCUCCAUGCCUCUGCGUAGCCACGAUGCCUGUAGCGCCUCUGAGAGCCCCCAGUGCCCUGGUGGGGAAAUGGAGCGAGCACGUGGGCCCCAAAUGAACUCCAGGAAGAGAUUAUCCACAGGCAUUAUCCACAGCGAUCUUGCUACCCAUUUCCAGUUUAAAGUGCUAUUCGCAUUCAGACCUCCAGCAACUGUUGAAGAGGAAGGGUGGUCUUCUGGCUGAGUCAUUACCCAGAGCUGUGAGACCUGAUUCAGCUGAAAUGAGAGCAGG